This is a long non-coding RNA of Mus musculus (house mouse), 901 nucleotides long. RefSeq annotates it as predicted gene, 32765. The transcript is spliced from 4 exons. Lineage: Eukaryota; Metazoa; Chordata; Mammalia; Rodentia; Muridae. The record is from RefSeq and is a predicted model, not a curated record.
GACUCCUUUGGCCAACAGCUCAAUUAGAUGUAAGCCAGUCCCAGGGCUGAAAGUUUCGUUUGGUGGCAAGAGAUGGCCAGUUGUGGCUCUGUGUCCCUCAUUACUUGGUGAUUUCGUCUAGGUCACCUUCAUCAUGCCCUUUCGUGUGUAAAGAGAACAUCUUGUGUCUGUGUGGAUGUGGCACCUGUCAAUAAUAAAUCUGAUGGCCUAUGGCUUAAGCAAUAAAUAGGAGGUGGGACAUCCAGGAGGCAGAAAAGAUCCUGGGAUACUGCCAGGCGGGAGAUUCGCCGGGGAAGAUGUGACAAGAAAGAUGCAUAGUCCCUCGAGCACAGAUUUCCACUUCUACACAUCCCUUCUUUCUGCUUGUUCCUGAGACUACGCCCAGUGACAAGUCCCCAGCGAGCCUGGGGAGCAGAGUGAGCACACAGCAAAGUCGCGGCGAGCAACCUGACCUGGGAACAAAGGGUGUGCAUGCCUGGGAGGAAGACCAGAAAUCGUGCAAACUCCUCAGUGGGAAGAUUGAAGUCAAAGCGAGGUCCACAGGUAAGUGGAGCCCAACUUCAAGUUUAAUGACUGUACCUUAACCAGAAGCCACUGCUUUCAGCACAGGACUGCCUGGCUGUCCUCUAACAGCUACCCAAAUGCACUAGCUUUUAGCUGUUCUGAGAAUUUUCUAAGUGACUUCAAGACAUCACACAUGAAACCAGCCAGGUACAGUGGUUUAAACCUGCAGUCCCAACUACUCCAGAGGCUGUAGCCAGAAGAUUCCUUGAGUCCACUAGUUGGAGGAUAGUCCAGGCACCCUAGCAAUACCCUAACUCAAUUAAAGAAAAGGGGGUGCUGAGAAAUAGCUCAGCAGCACUGAUUGCUUUUCCAGAGGACCUAGGUUCUAUUUCCAGAC